UACGUAGGGGGCGAGCGUUGUCCGGAUUUAUUGGGCGUAAAGAGCGUGUAGGCGGCCAGGUAGGUCUGCUGUGAAAACUCGAGGCUCAACCUCGAGAUGUCGAUGGAAACCGUCUGGCUAGAGUCCGGAAGAGGAGUGUGGAAUUCCUGGUGUAGCGGUGAAAUGCGCAGAUAUCAGGAAGAACACCUAUGGCGAAGGCAGCACUCUGGGACGGUACUGACGCUGAGACGCGAAAGCGUGGGGAGCGAACAGG
Molecule: ribosomal RNA, 253 nt
Filed under: uncultured bacterium
Lineage: Bacteria
Description: partial 16S ribosomal RNA
Rfam family: Bacterial small subunit ribosomal RNA
Source: RNAcentral